RNAcentral lists this ribosomal RNA (253 nucleotides) under uncultured bacterium. Its description in RNAcentral is "partial 16S ribosomal RNA". It matches the Rfam family "Bacterial small subunit ribosomal RNA", at positions 524 to 776 of the family's 1533-position model. The record is from RNAcentral.
UACGUAGGGGGCAAGCGUUGUCCGGAUUCAUUGGGCGUAAAGAGCGUGUAGGCGGCCAGGUAGGUCGGUUGGGAAAACUGGAGGCUCAACCUUCAGAGGUCGACCGAAACCAUCUGGCUAGAGUCCGGGAGAGGAGAGUGGAAUUCCUGGUGUAGCGGUGAAAUGCGCAGAUAUCAGGAAGAACACCCGUGGCGAAAGCGGCUCUCUGGAACGGUACUGACGCUGAGACGCGAAAGCGUGGGGAGCGAACAGG